This 487-nucleotide ribosomal RNA is filed under the name Attheya sp. RCC5598. RNAcentral's name for it is "SSU rRNA". It matches the Rfam family "Eukaryotic small subunit ribosomal RNA", at positions 634 to 1125 of the family's 1831-position model. The record is from RNAcentral. Lineage: Eukaryota; Bacillariophyta; Biddulphiophyceae; Attheyales; Attheyaceae.
UUGGAUUUCUGGCGGGAGCGGGUGGUCCGGCACUUUGUGUUGGUACUUUCCUGUCUCUUGCCAUCCUUGGGUCUAAGCUGUCUGGCAUUUAGUUGUCGGGCAGUGGCUGCCCAUCGUUUACUGUGAAAAAAUUAGAGUGUUCAAAGCAGGCUUAUGCCGUUGAAUAUAUUAGCAUGGAAUAAUAAGAUAGGACCUUGGUACUAUUUUGUUGGUUUGCGCACCGAGGUAAUGAUUAAGAGGGACAGUUGGGGGUAUUCGUAUUCAAUUGUCAGAGGUGAAAUUCUUGGAUUUCUGGAAGACGAACUACUGCGAAAGCAUUUACCAAGGAUGUUUUCAUUAAUCAAGAACGAAAGUUAGGGGAUCGAAGAUGAUUAGAUACCAUCGUAGUCUUAACCAUAAACUAUGCCGACUAGGGAUUUGUGGGUGUUAUUUUUGACCCCAUGAGCACCUUAUGAGAAAUCAAAGUCUUUGGGUUCCGGGGGGAGUA